Molecule: ribosomal RNA, 343 nt
Filed under: Egaenus turcicus
Lineage: Eukaryota; Metazoa; Arthropoda; Arachnida; Opiliones; Phalangiidae
Description: partial large subunit ribosomal RNA
Rfam family: Bacterial large subunit ribosomal RNA
Source: RNAcentral
GUGCAAAGGUAGCAUAAUCAUUUGGUUCUUAAAUGGGAUCUUGUAUGAAAGGGUUAACGGGGGGCAUCUUUUUUUAGGGUAUAAGUUUAAUUUAGAGUUUUUGUUAUAAUACAAAAAUUAAAUUAAGGGACGAUAAGACCCUAUAAAGCUUUAUUUUAUUAAUAAUUAAAUAACUAAAUUUAAUUUUUGUUAAAAUUUUACUGGGGCGGUAGCUUAUUAAACUAGGUAAUAUUUUAUUGAUCCAUUAUUGAUGAGAAAUUGAUUAAGUUACUUUAGGGAUAACAGCAUAAUUCAUUUAGGGAGUACAAAUCGAAGAAUGAGAUUGUGACCUCGAUGUUGAAUU